UCUCCGUAGGUGAACCUGCGGAGGGAUCAUUACAGAGUUAAUGCCCUACCGGGUAGAUUUCACACCCUAUGUUAUUAUUACUUUGUUGCUUUGGCGGGCCCUUAGGCUCAGGCCCGACUACCGGCCCCGGCUGGUAAGCGCCAGCCAGAGGACCCAAAACCCUGAAUAUUAGUGUCGUCUGAGUACUAUAUAAUAGUUAAAACUUUCAACAAUGGAUCUCUUGGUUCUG
RNAcentral lists this unclassified non-coding RNA (229 nucleotides) under plant metagenome. RNAcentral describes it as "partial contains small subunit ribosomal RNA, internal transcribed spacer 1, and 5.8S ribosomal RNA". The record is from RNAcentral.